UUUUAUCUUCAAUACAUAAUAUAUAUAAAGAGGCAUUGCAGAAGCAUUGGAGGAUAGAGAGUAAAAGAGAAAAAUAUAAACAAAGUCAUUAAGAGAAAAAUUGAAGUGUUCAAUGAUCAACUUUUCUCUCCAAGGUACAAUUUGAUAUCUUUAUAUAUAAAAGAAAGGUUUUACCUCGAAACCCUAACCCCAUUUUAGUGAAAUAUUUGUUGCCCUAAAACGUAUUUUUGUCUAUUUACUUGAAAGUUAUUAUUAUUAAAAAAAUAUUUUUUUGCACAAUUUCUAGAUUACACUACACGAUUACAUAUUAAAGAAAAAACACGAUAAAAUAUAUACCCACAAUGUUAAAACCGCCAAUUUCCAUUUCCAUUGUUCCUCAAUUCUCGCCAUUAUCGGCAUAUAUGUAAGCAUGGUUAGCCAGAACGGCGUGGGAAACGGCCGGAACGGCCGUUCUGAAAGGGGAACGGUGCUCUCCAUUCCGGAAUUCGUAACCAGAACGGUGUUUUCACUGGGAUUCAUCGGUACGCCGAGAAAUCAGAGGGAUGGGCAAGACGGAGCCACGGAAUGGACCCGACACGGCCGGAACGGUGCCGGAACGGCGCCGGAACAGUAGAAAUAAUAUGAAAAAAAUAUAAUUUGACUAAAAAAAAAGGAAAAAAUGACUAAUUUAACUGAAAAAAAUAUGGAAAAAUAAUAUAAUUAACUUUUUUGUAAUGGCUCGUGACUUUUCUAAUGUUCUUGUUUUUACUGUUUGACUUGUUACUUGUGAAUUUUUUCUUGGAUUCUAAUAUUUUGUAUUAUGAUGAAUUUGAUUUUACUAUUGGGUGUUUAUUUUCACAUCAUCACAUGCACUCCUCUAGGCUAUAGCCUUUCACAUCCAUGUCUCCCACAAGCCACAGUUUCACUCAAUAAUAGAACUAAUAAUAAUACAGAUCGUGGAUUGAUAUGAUCAGCUUUUAUCUUCAAUACAUAAUAUAUAUAAAGAGGCAUUGCAGAAGCAUUGGAGGAUAGAGAGUAAAAGAGAAAAAUAUAAACAAAGUCAUUAAGAGAAAAAUUGAAGUGUUCAAUGAUCAACUUUUCUCUCCAAGGUACAAUUUGAUAUCUUUAUAUAUAAAAGAAAGGUUUUACCUCGAAACCCUAACCCCAUUUUAGUGAAAUAUUUGUUGCCCUAAAACGUAUUUUUGUCUAUUUACUUGAAAGUUAUUAUUAUUAAAAAAAUAUUUUUUUGCACAAUUUCUAGAUUACACUACACGAUUACAUAUUAAAGAAAAAACACGAUAAAAUAUAUACCCACAAUGUUAAAACCGCCAAUUUCCGUUUCCAUUGUUCAUCAAUUCUCGCCAUUAUCGGCAUAUAUGUAAGCAUGGUUAGCCGGAACGGCGUGGGAAACGGCCGGAACGGCCGUUCUGAAAGGGGAACAGUGCCCUCCGUUCCGGAAUCCGUAACCAGAACGGUGUUUUCACUGGGAUUCAUCGGAACGCCGAGAAAUCGGAGGGAUGGGCAAGACGGAGCCACGGAAUGGACCCGACACGGCCGGAACGGUGCCGGAACGGCGCUGGAACAGUAGAAAUAAUAUGAAAAAAAAACAUAAUUUGACUAAAAAAAAUAAAAAAUGACUAAUUUGAUUAACUUUUUUGUAAUGGCUCGUGACUUCUCUACUGUUCUUUUUUUUACUGUUUGACUUGUGACUUGUGAAUUAUUUCUUGGAUUCUAAUAUUUUGUAUUAUGAUGAAUAUUAUUUUACUAUUGGGUGCAGAUUUUCACAUCAUCACAUGCACUACUCUAGGCUAUAGCCUUUCACAUCCAUGUCUCCCACAAGCCACAGUUUCACUCUAUAAUAGAACUAAUAGUAAUACAGAUCGUGGAUUGAUAUCAGCUUUUAUCUUCAAUACAAAAUAUAUAUAGAGAGGCAUUGCAGAGGCAUUGGAGGAUCGAGAGUAAAAGAGAAAAAUAUAAACAAAGUCAUGAAGAAAAAAAUUGAAGUGUUCAAUCAUCAACUCUUCUUUCCAAGGUACAAUUUGAUAUGUUUGUUGUUUUUUAAUUUAUAAUUUUAUACGUCGCUAAAAGAUUGUAGUGCAUAAUUUAAUAUUGAUAGUCAUAUUGUUUUCGUAAUUUAUAAUUUAAUAUAGAAUAUUUAUAGUGAUAUAGUUUUCGUAAUUUAAAAUUUAAUAUAGAAUAUAGAUAGUAUGAAGAACGAAUAAUUGUAAUAAUAUUUUGCAUAUUAUUGUAUUGUAAUAUCGUUAUUAAAAACAUAUUUGAAAUAUAUUGUAUUUCUUUAGUAAUUAAAUUAAAAUGUGUCAUUUCCGGUCGCGACGUUGCAAUGGAACUGGAACGGCAAUGUCCGCGACAAUGCAUUGUUCCGUUCCGGCGAACCAUGUAUGUAAGUCUCAGAAUAACUCCCCAUUUUUCCACUCAUAAAAUUUGUUUUCCUAUUCUCUUUAUAUUUCUUCGCCGUUGUCAACGUUGGCUGCAAUUUUAAUACUACAUAAUCGCAAUGAAGAAAUGGUUAGUGAUCUUUCAGUUUUAGAAUUCAUUUUGCGUGCUCUGAAUUCCUAAAUCGAUCAAUGUUUAGAUUUUUGUUUUUGGGUUUUAUGAAAGUUACCCUUUAAUAAUAGGUUUGGAAUAUAUUUUUUUCUUUAUUUUGUUGAAAUUUCAUUUUAACAACGAUGUUUAUCAACAGUCAGUCUCACAUGCUAUAAUUAAAAAAGUAGAUGUAUAAUUCUUCAAAUUUCCGUGGAGUGUUGUAUGAAAACUGUUAAUUAUUAGUUUUGUUUAGUACACUUCUUAGACAACUUUUUAGCAAUUUUAUUUUUUUAAAUGUUCAUGAUAUUUAGGGAAUCAACUGUGACAUGUGGGGAAUCAAUUGAUGAGUAGUUAUUUGUUCUUUCUAUAAGAAAAGGAAUCGAAAUGUUUGAAGUUGUUGCUAUUUUAUUUGGUGUCACUGUAACAUAUGUUUUUCGUACACCAUGGUCAUAUACUCAUUAUUUUCAGCAAAAAAAAAAAAGAAGUUUUACUAUUUUCUCUAAUAUCUGAUGAUAUAUACAAUAAUCAGAAAAUAAGAAAUCUCACAACAAGUAUAUUAAUAUUGUUUUUCUCUGUUUUUUCACAGGUUUACCUGGUGAUGAGAAUGUCUUUUUGCUUCUUUUAACAGUUUUGUUUAGAGUUGUAUUAGUUUUGUAUUUGGAGGUGUUUUAUGAAGAUUGCUGCUAUCUUGAGAAUUUGGGAUGGCAAAAAAGAAAUCAAAAGCAAGAAGAUUCAUCUCUAGACUGCUCCAUUACAGAAACGAUAAUUGGUGCAUUUAGUUGGGUGCUCACAUGAAUUAGUUGCUGAUGAAUCGAACAUGAGGACGAGACAACAUGGUAUUAAUAUUAUACUAUAAUGAUUAAUAACAAAUGUUUUCUGAUUGGCAAUGUAGUUUUCUUUUCUCCACCCCUCUAAGAUUACUACAUUUCCACAUUUUUCUUUGUUAUGUAUAUCUAUUUGCUCUAUCUGUUGAUAUUAGCAAUUCAUUUUGUAUAUUGAUGUUUUUGCUAUAGUCAUGUAUUAAAUUG
RNAcentral lists this long non-coding RNA (3551 nucleotides) under Erythranthe guttata (spotted monkey flower). RNAcentral's name for it is "long non-coding RNA (EGUT_LNC001135)". Lineage: Eukaryota; Viridiplantae; Streptophyta; Magnoliopsida; Lamiales; Phrymaceae. The record is from RNAcentral.